This 435-nucleotide ribosomal RNA is filed under the name uncultured Staphylococcus sp. RNAcentral describes it as "bacterial SSU rRNA". It matches the Rfam family "Bacterial small subunit ribosomal RNA", at positions 958 to 1392 of the family's 1533-position model. The record is from RNAcentral. Lineage: Bacteria; Bacillati; Bacillota; Bacilli; Caryophanales; Staphylococcaceae.
AACGCGAAGAACCUUACCAAAUCUUGACAUCCUUUGACCACUCUGGAGACAGAGCUUUCCCCUUCGGGGGACAAAGUGACAGGUGGUGCAUGGUUGUCGUCAGCUCGUGUCGUGAGAUGUUGGGUUAAGUCCCGCAACGAGCGCAACCCUUAAGCUUAGUUGCCAUCAUUAAGUUGGGCACUCUANGUUGACUGCCGGUGACAAACCGGAGGAAGGUGGGGAUGACGUCAAAUCAUCAUGCCCCUUAUGAUUUGGGCUACACACGUGCUACAAUGGACAAUACAAAGGGCAGCUAAACCGCGAGGUCAUGCAAAUCCCAUAAAGUUGUUCUCAGUUCGGAUUGUAGUCUGCAACUCGACUACAUGAAGCUGGAAUCGCUAGUAAUCGUAGAUCAGCAUGCUACGGUGAAUACGUUCCCGGGUCUUGUACACACCG